GAUGAACGCUGGCGGCGUGCCUAAUACAUGCAAGUCGAGCGAACAGACGAGGAGCUUUCCCCUCUGACGUUAGCGGCGGACGGGUGAGUAACACGUGGAUAACCUACCUAUAAGACUGGGAUCACUUCGGGAAACCGGAGCUAAUACCGGAUAAUAUAUUGAACCGCAUGGUUCAAUAGUGAAAGACGGUUUUGCUGUCACUUAUAGAUGGAUCCGCGCCGCAUUAGCUAGUUGGUAAGGUAACGGCUUACCAAGGCAACGAUGCGUAGCCGACCUGAGAGGGUGAUCGGCCACACUGGAACUGAGACACGGUCCAGACUCCUACGGGAGGCAGCAGUGGGGAAUCUUCCGCAAUGGGCGAAAGCCUGACGGAGCAACGCCGCGUGAGUGAUGAAGGUCUUCGGAUCGUAAAACUCUGUUAUUAGGGAAGAACAAAUGUGUAAGUAACUAUGCACGUCUUGACGGUACCUAAUCAGAAAGCCACGGCUAACUACGUG
RNAcentral lists this ribosomal RNA (497 nucleotides) under uncultured bacterium. RNAcentral describes it as "partial 16S ribosomal RNA". It matches the Rfam family "Bacterial small subunit ribosomal RNA", at positions 28 to 507 of the family's 1533-position model. The record is from RNAcentral.